RNAcentral lists this long non-coding RNA (3193 nucleotides) under Homo sapiens (human). RNAcentral's name for it is "HSALNT0194725". The record is from RNAcentral. Lineage: Eukaryota; Metazoa; Chordata; Mammalia; Primates; Hominidae.
CAGGGAUGGCUGAGGAGCUCGUCCUCCCUCCCCAGGCCAGCUUAUGUCAACAGUAGGGAGGGCCAGGAUGAAGCCACGUAGGUGAGGUGCCCCAGGCAUUCACAAGCAGCAGAGGAAGCUCAGGGGCACACUCUCUCAUUCUGUAGACACGGACACUGAGUCCCGGAAAGAAGCAGGACUGCUCAAAGCAAAUUCGUGAUGAGAAUGGACUGGGGCUCCCCUCCGCACCCGCCCCUCCACUCACCCCUGCGGAGGCGGCCCACGGUAUGCGAGAAGCCAUAAUACUGAUGAAGAAACUGACUUUGUCUGACUCCAAACAUUCUGCUUAUGCUCCAUGCUGACAACCACUUUACAAUGAAUGAAUCAACUGGAAAGAAAAGAUUCAUGAAGGGGUUCCCCUAAGAAGCUGGCACUCCCUGUGCCUCUGGAACACGGAGUCAUUCUGCAGAUGGGCUGGGUGAGGUCUCCAGCCCUGGAAACUGCACAUUCCUCAGCUUCCCAUUUCACCGAGGGCACUAGAGCUCACCCCACUGUUUGGUAGAUACAGGGUGAUGCUCUAAAAUGAACCCACCAUCCAAGUCUCUGCUUCCCCCUGAGCAAGAACAGGGGAGCCUGUGGCGUCCCGAUGCGCGUCGGGCACUGGCUGAGCACUUCUCACGUGCUGACCUGUCUAAUCCGCACCGCCAGCCUAGGAGCCCGUGAGAUCAUUGUCUCAUUCCACAGAUGAAGAAACUGAGGCUGAGAGAGGUGGGCUGACUUGCCUGAGAUCGCCUGGUGGAAAUGAACUCUGCUCGGGCCUCUUGGGGCCUCAGUGGCUCCAGAAAUUGCAAUGGGUAGACGACGCUGGAGCAGCAGGGGCCCCGAGCCAGUGGGGACAGUUCCGCCCUGCCAUCCUGGCCCCACUGCCCCAGCCUCACCUGAAGCACCACCUGCGGUCAGGAGUGCCGUCCGAGCUCUUGCCCACGGUGACCAUCUCCCCAGAGCGGAAGGCCUUCCUCAGGAAUACGGGGAAGGAGCGCUCAAUGUCCAGGAUGGUGGUGGCCCACUGCGGGGAGGGAGGGUCAGGAGGGACAUCGGUGAGCCUCACAGCCUGCGCCUGCCGCUCUGGUGGCAGAAAUGAGACAACGGGCCAGGGUGGGCCCAGAACUAGGCAUUUAGACUCCUACUCCCCACUAGACACAGGGUUUAUAAACUCAAAUACCCACAGGUGGCAGGCAGGAAAACAAAUGGGUGAAACAGGAUCAGGUGCAGAAAGGCUGCCGCCCAAGCCCUAUCACACUUACACAGCAGUUGCCUCUCAGUGAGGGAGGGGUAGAGACUGGGGAGAACAGGGAGCAAAUGCCCACGUGUAAGGGGGCAGCUGCCACUCACCCCACCUGAGGGCUGCCAGGCAGGAAUCCGGACCCUGCACUGCCUGGAGCUUCCAACUUUUCAAGAAAAGCCAGAAAUCUGGGUUUUCAUAGGGAAUCUCUUAAUUUUUAAAUUUUGCAGUUUUUUGUUGUUGUUGUUGUUUUUAAUAUAAUGGUCUGAUGCUGGGUGCAGUGGCUCACACCUGCAAUCUCAGCACUUUAGGAGGCCAAGGCAGGUGGAUAGCUUGAACUCAGAAGUUCAAGACCAGCCUGGGCAACAUGGUGAAACCCCAUCUUUACAAAAAAUACAAAAAUUAGCCGGGUGAGGUGGUGCACACCUUAGCCCCAGCUACUCGGGAGGCUGAGGACAGAGAAUCACUUGAGCCUGGGAGGCAGAGGUUGCAGUGAGCCAAGAUCACACCAUUGCACUCCAGCCCACAGGAUGCCCAGUUUGCAUCCUGUGAGUAAUGCCCAGUGGGGAAACUGAGGCCCAAUGAAGUAAGCAAUAUAGAUAAAGGUUAAGAGCAGGCCAGAGCUGUUUCCCUCAGACCCAGUCCUGGGAGGACAACCUUGGGCCCUUUUUUCUCACUGCACCAUUUUCCUGAAAUGCACAGUCAAGGUAAACACGGGUGCUGUAUUCCUGGGCCGUGGGGCAGCACUGUUUAUUAGGACACCAGGUUUGUAGGCUGCACCUGGCCUGGGAGGGCUGUGAUCCCAGGGCCUGUUCUUUCCAGGAUUGCAUAGAAAGCUUUUGGUAAGUAAAAACUUUCUGCAGCUCCCCGGGCCAAGGCGGCCCCUGUCCCCAUUGGUUUCUCCUCUAGGAAGCAUGCUCACAGUUGCUAGAAAAAGACCCCCAUGAGAAUGCUGACAUCCCUGUGCUGGAGUGCUAGAGCACAAAAGCUGCCCCUGGGCUCAGCGUGGGACCCCUGCUGAAACGCUGAUGCCCACGGAGCACUUUCUGAGCCGGCAGAAGUCACUCAGUCAUGCUAGGUGGAGCCGACUGUGUCCUGUGAGCUGGACCACAAGGAGAAUCUGAGCCCACUGCUGGCAGCCAGAGAAGUGGAGGGAGAAUGAGAAGACACUGCUUGCUCAGAGUGGAAGGCCGAGGAAGCCAGUCGGGUGGGUCUCCUCGGAAGGACGAGGGUGGCUGGUAGAGUGGGGCUGGGGGCCCUGGGGCCUCACCUGCAGCUUCCAGAUGUGCUUGCUCUCCUUGGAGACCUGGCCCACUGUCUCGCCCAUGAGGGCAAUGAGCAUGUUGAGGAGCAGCACAAAGGUGAGGAUGAUGUAGGUCACCAGCAGGAUGAUGAAGACCACGGGGUACUUGGUGCUGCUCAGCAUCUCCAGGUCGCCCAUGCCGAUGGUCAGCUUAAACAGGUCCAGGAGGAAGGUGCUGAAGGUCUCGCUGUCACGGCACGAGGGAGAGGUGGAGGGUGUCAUUCUCAUUUGCUGGAGGAGAAAGCUGAGGCCUAGUGAGCGGAGCACGCUGGCCCACACGCUGACCCAUGUCACCCUACACAUCAGCCAAGCCACACCAGACCCAGGUCCUCCUGAUCCCAAAACCUUUGAAGCCUUUCCAUAAACUCUUGCUGAUAAGGAAGAGGUUAUCUCUCUCUCUCUCUCUUUCUUUCUGAGAUGGGGUCUUGCUAUGUUGCCCAGGCUGGAGUGCAGUGGCUACUCACAGGCUCAAUCCCACUACUGAUAAGCGUAGGAGUUUUGACCUGCUCUGUUUCCAACCUGGGACAGUUCACCCCUCCUUACACAACCUGGUGGUUCCCUGCUACCGGGAGGGAAAAGGUUUUCAGGAUCUAGUCCAGGGAGGGUCUCAGUUUUUCCCACCAGGGGAC